GUAUCUAAUCCUGUUCGCUACCCACGCUUUCGCACCUCAGUGUCAGUACAGAUCCAGGAGGCUGCCUUCGCCAUUGGUAUUCUUCACAAUAUCUACGCAUUCCACCGCUACACUGUGAAUUCUACCUCCCUCUAUCGUACUCUAGUGAAUCAGUUUUGGAUGCAGUUCCCAGGUUGAGCCCGGGGAUUUCACACCCAACUUAAUAAACCACCUACGCGCGCUUUACGCCCAGUAAUUCCGAUUAACGCUUGGACCUUCCGUAUUACCGCGGCUGCUGGCACGGAAUUAGCCGGUCCUUAUUCUGAUGGUAAUGUCACGGUCAUUGGGUAUUAACCAAUAACUUUUCUUCCCAACUUAAAGUGCUUUACAACCCUAGGGCCUUCUUCACACACGCGGUAUGGCUGGAUCAGGCUUUCGCCCAUUGUCCAAUAUUCCCCACUGCUGCCUCCCGUAGGAGUCUGGGCCGUGUCUCAGUCCCAAUGUGGCGGAUCGUCCUCUCAGACCCGCUAAAGAUCGUAGCCUUGGUGAGCCUUUACCUCACCAACAAGCUAAUCUUACGCAGGCUCAUCUAGUAGCGAAAGCUCCAAAGAGAGGCCUUCUUUCUCCCGAAGGAGGUAUACGGUAUUAAUCCGAGUUUCCUCGGGCUAUCCCCUUCUACUAGGUAGAUUCCUACGCGUUACUCACCCGUCCGCCGCUCUACUCAUAUCCGAAGAUACUUUCUCGCACGACUUGCAUGUGUUAAGCCUACCGCCAGCGUUCAAUCUGAGCCAGGAUCAAACUCU
Molecule: ribosomal RNA, 782 nt
Filed under: uncultured bacterium
Lineage: Bacteria
Description: partial 16S ribosomal RNA
Source: RNAcentral